AUUAUAAAUAUUUUUGUUUGAUAGGCUAUUCGGACGCUGAUCUCAAAGGGUGCUGGAUCUGGUACCUAUCCAGGCCCCAAUAAGUUGUUUCUAUUGGUUAAGGCUCCCUGUUCUUUCAACCUGCCUCUGCAUUUUCUUCCCAAACGUGAUUUUAAAUACAGCAAAAAGAAAGAGAAGACAAGUCAUAGCCCUAGUAGAAUUGAAUUAUUUGACAUCACCCAUGUGCAAGCUAAUGGGCAAGCAGUAAAUGAACCAACACAAGAUGCAUUGGUGGCAUUGAGGAAUCUUACUACUCAAGCAAAUGAGGGGGCAUUGCAAAUAUCUCAAGAUCAAAUGUUUGUGGAGGUGUUUGGACCUGAGCGUCAUGGACAAGUUC
Molecule: long non-coding RNA, 376 nt
Organism: Quercus robur (English oak)
Lineage: Eukaryota; Viridiplantae; Streptophyta; Magnoliopsida; Fagales; Fagaceae
Exons: 4
Source: RefSeq, a predicted model, not a curated record